CGUAGGUCCCUCGGGGGGGGGGUCACUGGGAGUGUAAAUUCAAAAAGCAGACUGAAUUAGGCUCCUGUGUAUAUUCGAAAAACGGUUUUUCUUGAAUAACUCGGCCAUUUUUGAUUUUACAGUAAAACUGUGGGAACCAAAAUUGUUCAGAAUUUGAUUCUCUACAAGUUUAGUCCUCUUCAUUUAUGCCGUAAAGUUGAAAAUAAACGAGAUGAUGAAAAUAUUUUUAAUUUGUCGCUUUUUUCAAAUUUAAUUUCCAAAAUAUCGAUCCUAGAAGAAAAAUUGUGAGGACCAAACUUGUAGAGAAUCAAAUUUUCUACAAUUUUUGUCCUCACGGUUUUACUGUAAAAUCAAAAAUGGCCGAGUUAUUCAAGAAAAACCGUUU
This is a long non-coding RNA of Cydia amplana, 385 nucleotides long. RefSeq lists it as uncharacterized. The transcript is spliced from 2 exons. NCBI's taxonomy places the organism in Eukaryota, Metazoa, Arthropoda, Insecta, Lepidoptera, Tortricidae. The record is from RefSeq and is a predicted model, not a curated record.